AUAUACAUAGCUCAGUUGGUAGAGCAUAAGACUCUUAAUCUCAGGGUCAUGGGUUCAAAAGAUUCCUGCAUUGCAGGGG
This is a non-coding RNA of Podarcis lilfordi (Lilford's wall lizard), 79 nucleotides long. Lineage: Eukaryota; Metazoa; Chordata; Lepidosauria; Squamata; Lacertidae. The record is from the annotation of a GenBank genome assembly.